Molecule: ribosomal RNA, 404 nt
Filed under: uncultured Eubacteriales bacterium
Lineage: Bacteria; Bacillati; Bacillota; Clostridia; Eubacteriales
Description: uncultured Clostridiales bacterium partial 16S ribosomal RNA
Rfam family: Bacterial small subunit ribosomal RNA
Source: RNAcentral
UGGGGAAUAUUGCACAAUGGGCGCAAGCCUGAUGCAGCAACACCGCGUGAAGGAUGAAGGUUUUCGGAUCGUAAACUUCUAUCGAUAGGGACGAAUAAAUGACGGUACCUAAGUAAGAAGCCCCGGCUAACUACGUGCCAGCAGCCGCGGUAAUACGUAGGGGGCAAGCGUUAUCCGGAAUUACUGGGUGUAAAGGGUGAGUAGGCGGUUAGAUAAGUCAUAUGUGAAAAUGCAACGCUUAACGUUGCCCGUGCAUAAGAAACUGUCUGACUAGAGUGCAGGAGAGGUAAGUGGAAUUCUUAGUGUAGCGGUGAAAUGCGUAGAUAUUAAGAAGAACACCAGUGGCGAAGGCGGCUUACUGGACUGAAACUGACGCUGAGUCACGAAAGCGUGGGGAGCAAACA